CGAUAUAGUGGCAGACGGGUGAGUAACGCGUGGAAACGUGCCUUUCACUACGGAAUAGCUUUUGGAAACGAAAGGUAAUACCGUAUACGCCCUCCGGGGGAAAGAUUUAUCGGUGAAAGAUCGGUCCGCGUUAGAUUAGCUAGUUGGUGAGGUAACGGCUCACCAAGGCUACGAUCUAUAGCUGGUCUGAGAGGAUGAUCAGCCACACUGGAACUGAGACACGGUCCAGACUCCUACGGGAGGCAGCAGUGGGGAAUAUUGCACAAUGGGCGCAAGCCUGAUGCAGCCAUGCCGCGUGAAUGAUGAAGGCCUUAGGGUUGUAAAAUUCUUUCGCCAGGGAUGAUAAUGACAGUACCUGGUAAAGAAGCCCCGGCUAACUUCGUGCCAGCAGCCGCGGUAAUACGAAGGGGGCUAGCGUUGUUCGGAAUUACUGGGCGUAAAGCGCACGUAGGCGGACUUUUAAGUCAGAUGUGAAAUCCCGAGGCU
This 486-nucleotide ribosomal RNA is filed under the name uncultured Alphaproteobacteria bacterium. RNAcentral describes it as "bacterial SSU rRNA". It matches the Rfam family "Bacterial small subunit ribosomal RNA", at positions 88 to 609 of the family's 1533-position model. Lineage: Bacteria; Pseudomonadati; Pseudomonadota; Alphaproteobacteria. The record is from RNAcentral.